CAUUUCACAUCUGAUUGUGUGAAGAGUCUGAGUUUACCCCCCAGGAGCUCUUUACUGAGGGCUGAAUCAUAAGGAAGGACUCCUCCGUGUGCACCCUAGCUAGGGACCCAUGGCCAGCCAGCAUCCAGGUCAGGGAAGCAUGCAGAGCAGCCCUUCCCAGUCCCCGCCCCAAGGCUCCUGGGCUCCUUGGUCCAGAACUCACCUUCCCUGGAAAAGCUCCUCUAGCAGAGCCUGCCCUCCUCCUGGCGCUCUUCUCUCUGGUCCCAACCUCAUGGCCUUGCAUCUUCCCCACUGGAUCCGCAGGUGCCUGCCCGCCCACUCAGGAAGUCAGAUGGCCUCAUGCUUUGGAAACUGCCAAUCCUUGCUUUACACGUUCUCAUCUUUCCCUCCUUCCACCUAGGAGAUUCCCAGGGGCGAUGGCAGAACAUGCCAUCUUCCUCAUCUGUCCAUCUCCCCACCCCUGUACUGCCUGGUUCCAGCCUGGGCUCACCCAAGCUCAUGGUUCACCAGUGCGUGAUGAUCAGAUUCUCUUUCAUUUUUCCCUGAGACUCCGGACAGGUGAGAGGAGGCUGCUGUCUGACCUUCCAUUUUAGCUGUCUGGGGCAGCUGCCUGUCCCUCUGUUCAGCUUCAGUUUGGGUCUCUCCCAGGUGGAGUGGAAAGUGUGCAGCAGCAAGAGGCAGCAACUCUGACCUUCGCUAUCAGACCCACCACCAGUUAGCUCCGUGACCUCGGGGGUCAUCUGUGCCCCCUGGUCAGUUUGCUCAUCCAUUAGGGAACAGGACGAGAUCCCUCCUCCUCUUGUCUUCUGGGACAGCUGAGUGACACAAGCGCCUGCAAAGUGCUGAGCAAACUGUACGUUCCCUUCGGGGGGUCGAGGUUCCAGUGUCAUUUUACCCCUGGUUCUCUUGUCCAUAGAACGCUAAAUUACAAGUGGCUUCAGCCGCAAAGACAUGCCUUGUCUCACAUGGCAAGGGGCCUGGAGGGAAUUCCAAGACUCAGCAGCCUGACAACGUCCUGGCUUAGCUUCUGUACGAGGCUCUUGGCUUUCUUCUUACUCGAUGCCGCAGCUGCUUCCGGGCUCAACCUCUCACGCCAACGGGGCUGAAGCAAGAAGGACUCAGAAGUCCGCUCGCUCCCCUGCUGACCCGCCGUACCCGGUACCUUCGUGCACCGAGCCCACCGCCCAAGGGUGACGACCUGCUCCUCCCGCGAGCUAGAAGCUGAGUCUUUCUCUUCUUGCGCCGACUUUCUCAGAUGUUCCGGAAAACAUUUCAGGACCGCCUAGCCCUCAUGGCCAGAUGUGUACUGUGGAAUCCUGUCGGAAGGCCUUAUUUUUCCAGGAACAAUCCCCAGCGUUCACACGGCACCGAGCGUGUCGCUCUCCCUUGCUCAGACCCAUAUCCUCUAUCUUGAACCCCCGGGGGGCCCCAGGAGGCAGACGGGCCGGGCCGGCCUGGUAACCACCUGUGUGGGAUGAAUCACGAGGCUCCAGGAAAUCAAGGAGCUUGCCCAAGGCCAUGGGGCUCCCAGCCGCUGGGUCUGGAGCAGGGAUGCCUGGCUCGGGCCCUGACUGAGGGCCUUUUCCAUGGCACUGCGACUCCAAGGCAACUCACAACUGGCCUGUUUAGAUUCCAGACAAGCAGGAGUUCGCCAAGCUCACGAGCUGCAUACAGCGAGGUCCCUGUGUGUGCCAGGAAGAGAGCGUAGGAAUCGGGUCUGAUGGGAAGCCAGGCACAGGGCGGUCAGCAAGGGUUCUUAUGUGUUCCAUCCACACGGAGCUCCGUUGGUUUGAAAACGUCGCUCACAGAUGUUUCAUCUGAUGUCUCAGCAGCCCUGUGAGGUGGACAUGGCAGGGCAGAUGCCUGCUGCACGUGGGGAAACUGAGGAAACGUGGCCUCACUGGCUAGAAAGAAGCUGAGCUGGGAUCUUAGUCAAGAUUUCUAUUUCCCAGGCUGGAAUUCUCCCUGCUCAUAGAAGAACAGGGCUCUACUUUCUUGUCCCUCAAAUGUCCACCAGCUGAUCCUGACACAGUCUUAGUUAACUGGUGAAAAACUGAAAAUAAGACCUUUGUCAGGAAGUUCUGCAUCAAAAAUGAAACACAGGCAUGAAGAUGUAACAACUGACAACUUGGGGAGGGAUCCCAGCCCUAUGAUUUCUCAAUGACACCAGGAAGACAGCUGCUGUCAUCGCAAGGAUGGCCCAAUGUUCUCCCUUGCUCACAGUAAGUAAGCGCUAAGAACUUUACCACCAUCUCUAGAGCAAAUCUCACACCUAAAAAGGCAGAAGAGACUCCAAGGACAAGCAACAGAAACACUCUAGGGGAAAAUUCAGAGAUGAGCUUCAUGAUACAGUCAUGUUUUUUAGCAAAAAGCAAAACAAAACAAAAACAAAAAAAACAUUGUUCCAUUUCUUCCUUUGUAAAAUGGGUUUGAGCAUAACUAAUUUUUCUGAUAAUGAAAAGAGCCUGGCUCUUUUCUGGUGGUUAGCUAACCCUUCUCGCUUCCAAUUGUGUGUCAUUUAUAUGU
Mustela erminea (ermine) is the source of this 2526-nucleotide long non-coding RNA. RefSeq lists it as uncharacterized. The record is from RefSeq and is a predicted model, not a curated record. Lineage: Eukaryota; Metazoa; Chordata; Mammalia; Carnivora; Mustelidae. The transcript has 3 exons.